GACGAACGCUGGCGGCGUGCCUAAUACAUGCAAGUAGAACGCUGAAGAGAGGAGCUUGCUCUUCUUGGAUGAGUUGCGAACGGGUGAGUAACGCGUAGGUAACCUGCCUUGUAGCGGGGGAUAACUAUUGGAAACGAUAGCUAAUAUCGCAUAACAAUGGGUGACACAUGUCAUUUAUUUGAAAGGGGCAAUUGCCCCACUACAAGAUGGACCUGCGUUGUAUUAGCUAGUAGGUGAGGUAACGGCUCACCUGGGCGACGAUACAUAGCCGACCUGAGAGGGUGAUCGGCCACACUGGGACUGAGACACGGCCCAGACUCCUACGGGAGGCAGCAGUAGGGAAUCUUCGGCAAUGGGGGCAACCCUGACCGAGCAACGCCGCGUGAGUGAAGAAGGUUUUCGGAUCGUAAAGCUCUGUUGUAAGUCAAGAACGAGUGUGAGAGUGGAAAGUUCACACUGUGACGGUAGCUUACCAGAAAGGGACGGCUAACUACGUGCCAGCAGCCGCGGUAAUACGUGGGUCCCGGGCGUUGUCCGAAUUUAUUGGGCGUAAAGCGAGCGCAGGCGGUUUGAUAAGUCUGAAGUUAAAGGCUGUGGCUCAACCAUAGUUCGCUUUGGAAACUGUCAAACUUGAGUGCAGAAGGGGAGAGUGGAAUUCCAUGUGUAGCGGUGAAAUGCGUAGAUAUAUGGAGGAACACCGGUGGCGAAAGCGGCUCUCUGGUCUGUAACUGACGCUGAGGCUCGAAAGCGUGGGGAGCGAACAGGAUUAGAUACCCUGGUAGUCCACGCCGUAAACGAUGAGUGCUAGGUGUUGGAUCCUUCCCGGGAUUCAGUGCCGCAGCUAACGCAUUAAGCACUCCGCCUGGGGAGUACGACCGCAAGGUUGAAACUCAAAGGAAUUGACGGGGCCCGCACAAGCGGUGGAGCAUGUGGUUUAAUUCGAAGCAACGCGAAGAACCUUACCAGGUCUUGACAUCCCGAUGCUAUUUCUAGAGAUAGAAAGUUACUUCGGUACAUCGGUGACAGGUGGUGCAUGGUUGUCGUCAGCUCGUGUCGUGAGAUGUUGGGUUAAGUCCCGCAACGAGCGCAACCCCUAUUGUUAGUUGCCAUCAUUCAGUUGGGCACUCUAGCGAGACUGCCGGUAAUAAACCGGAGGAAGGUGGGGAUGACGUCAAAUCAUCAUGCCCCUUAUGACCUGGGCUACACACGUGCUACAAUGGUUGGUACAACGGGUUGCGAGUCGGUGACGGCAAGCUGAUCUCUUAAAGCCAAUCUCAGUUCGGAUUGUAGGCUGCAACUCGCCUACAUGAAGUCGGAAUCGCUAGUAAUCGCGGAUCAGCACGCCGCGGUGAAUACGUUCCCGGGCCU
Molecule: ribosomal RNA, 1368 nt
Filed under: uncultured bacterium
Lineage: Bacteria
Description: bacterial SSU rRNA
Rfam family: Bacterial small subunit ribosomal RNA
Source: RNAcentral